UGGGGAAUAUUGGACAAUGGGCGAAAGCCUGAUCCAGCCAUGCCGCGUGUGUGAAGAAGGUCUUCGGAUUGUAAAGCACUUUAAGUUGGGAGGAAGGGCAUUAACCUAAUACGUUGGUGUCUUGACGUUACCGACAGAAUAAGCACCGGCUAACUUCGUGCCAGCAGCCGCGGUAAUACGAAGGGUGCAAGCGUUAAUCGGAAUUACUGGGCGUAAAGCGCGCGUAGGUGGUUCAGUAAGUUGAAGGUGAAAUCCCCGGGCUCAACCUGGGAACUGCCUCCAAAACUGCUGAGCUAGAGUAUGGUAGAGGGUAGUGGAAUUUCCUGUGUAGCGGUGAAAUGCGUAGAUAUAGGAAGGAACACCAGUGGCGAAGGCGACUACCUGGACUGAUACUGACACUGAGGUGCGAAAGCGUGGGGAGCAAACA
Molecule: ribosomal RNA, 427 nt
Filed under: uncultured Pseudomonas sp.
Lineage: Bacteria; Pseudomonadati; Pseudomonadota; Gammaproteobacteria; Pseudomonadales; Pseudomonadaceae
Description: bacterial SSU rRNA
Rfam family: Bacterial small subunit ribosomal RNA
Source: RNAcentral